CAUAGCCUUAAGGAGGUUCGAUUUAAGGUAAGCCCUGCCCGGUGAAAAAGUUUUUAACGGCCGCAGUACCCUGACUGUGCUAAGGUAGCGUAAUCAGUUGGCUUUUANAUGGAGUCGAGAUGNAUGGGUCUUCGGGGGAAAACUGUCUCAAGUUCACUUUUUUGAAUUUCCUUAGAGGGUGAAAAUUCCCUCGAUCAAGAUAAAAGACGAGAAGACCCUUAGAGUCUUUACUAAGUAGUGUAUNUCACUUAGAAGUUUUUGUNGGGGCGACAAAGAGGCAUAAAUAAUUUACUUAACCCUCUAUUUAUAUUUCUUACCGGACGAGAAUGCUAAGAAAGAUAAGACUACCUUAGGGAUAACAGCAUUAUUUUUUUAUAAGCUUGUGACCUCGAUGUUGGACUAGGGACCUAGUGGCUAGCCGCCAGUAAGGCAAGUUCUGUUCGAACUUCUUUUCCCUACGUGAUCU
This 466-nucleotide ribosomal RNA is filed under the name Trimusculus sp. PER-2015. RNAcentral describes it as "partial 16S ribosomal RNA". It matches the Rfam family "Archaeal large subunit ribosomal RNA", at positions 1906 to 2675 of the family's 2987-position model. The record is from RNAcentral. Lineage: Eukaryota; Metazoa; Mollusca; Gastropoda; Ellobiida; Trimusculidae.